ACCUUACCAAGGCUUGACAUACUGGCUCAAGUUAAUGUGAAAGCAUUUGUGCUGUAAGGCUUGCCUUACAUAGUCAGUACAGGUGCUGCAUGGCUGUCGUCAGCUCGUGCCGUGAGGUGUCCGGUUAAGUCCGGUAACGAGCGCAACCCCUAUGUUUAGUUGCCAGCACGUAAAGGUGGGAACUCUAAAGAGACUGCCGGCGACAAGCCGGAGGAAGGCGGGGACGACGUCAAGUCAUCAUGGCCCUUAUGCCUUGGGCUACACACAUGCUACAAUGGCGGAUACAAUGGGUUGCCAAACUGUGAAGUGGAGCCAUUCCCAUCAAAGUCCGUCUCAGUUCGGAUUGCAGGCUGCAACUCGCCUGCAUGAAGUUGGAAUCGCUAGUAAUCGUGGAUCAGCACUGCCACGGUGAAUACGUUCCCGGGCCUUGCACACACCGCCCGUCACACCACGAAAGUCGGUUCUACCCGAAGUGGUUGAGCUAACCCGCAAGGGGGGCAGACUCCUAAGGUAGGGCUGGUGAUUGGGGUGAAGUCGUAACAAGGUAGCCGU
Molecule: ribosomal RNA, 552 nt
Filed under: uncultured bacterium
Lineage: Bacteria
Description: bacterial SSU rRNA
Rfam family: Bacterial small subunit ribosomal RNA
Source: RNAcentral